CCUACGGGUGGCAGCAGUCGAGAAUCAUUCACAAUGGGGGAAACCCUGAUGGUGCGACGCCGCGUGGGGGAAUGAAGGUCUUCGGAUUGUAAACCCCUGUCAUGUGGGAGCAAAUUAAAAAGAUCGUACCCCAACAGGAAGAGACGGCUAACUCUGUGCCAGCAGCCGCGGUAAUACAGAGGUCUCAAGCGUUGUUCGGAAUCACUGGGCGUAAAGCGUGCGUAGGCUGUUUCGUAAGUCGUGUGUGAAAGGCGCGGGCUCAACCCGCGGACGGCACAUGAUACUGCGAGACUAGAGUAAUGGAGGGGGAACCGGAAUUCACGGUGUAGCAGUGAAAUGCGUAGAUAUCGAGAGGAACACUCGUGGCGAAGGCGGGUUCCUGGACAUUAACUGACGCUGAGGCACGAAGGCCAGGGGAGCGAAAGGGAUUAGAUACCCGAGUAGUC
RNAcentral lists this ribosomal RNA (446 nucleotides) under uncultured bacterium. Its description in RNAcentral is "partial 16S ribosomal RNA". It matches the Rfam family "Bacterial small subunit ribosomal RNA", at positions 338 to 795 of the family's 1533-position model. The record is from RNAcentral.